This is a regulatory RNA element of Geobacillus kaustophilus HTA426, 32 nucleotides long. It matches the Rfam family "L31-Firmicutes ribosomal protein leader". Lineage: Bacteria; Bacillati; Bacillota; Bacilli; Caryophanales; Anoxybacillaceae. The record is from Rfam.
CUCUGUUUCGAUAAGAUACAGGGCGGAAGGAG